UACGAAGGGGGCUAGCGUUGUUCGGAAUCACUGGGCGUAAAGCGCACGUAGGCGGAUCUUUAAGUCAGGGGUGAAAUCCCGAGGCUCAACCUCGGAACUGCCUUUGAUACUGGGGAGCUCGAGUCCGGGAGAGGUGAGUGGAACUGCGAGUGUAGAGGUGAAAUUCGUAGAUAUUCGCAAGAACACCAGUGGCGAAGGCGGCUCACUGGCCCGGAACUGACGCUGAGGUGCGAAAGCGUGGGGAGCAAACAGG
RNAcentral lists this ribosomal RNA (253 nucleotides) under uncultured bacterium. RNAcentral's name for it is "partial 16S ribosomal RNA". It matches the Rfam family "Bacterial small subunit ribosomal RNA", at positions 524 to 776 of the family's 1533-position model. The record is from RNAcentral.